This 773-nucleotide ribosomal RNA is filed under the name uncultured Neocallimastigales. RNAcentral's name for it is "partial large subunit ribosomal RNA". It matches the Rfam family "Eukaryotic large subunit ribosomal RNA", at positions 23 to 647 of the family's 3401-position model. Lineage: Eukaryota; Fungi; Neocallimastigomycota; Neocallimastigomycetes; Neocallimastigales. The record is from RNAcentral.
GAGAGAGACAUGCGCGCAUAUCAAUAAGCGGAGGAAAAGAAACUAACAAGGAUUCCCCUAGUAACGGCGAGUGAAGCGGGAAGAGCUCAAAUUUGAAAUCUUAAAGGGUUUCCCUUUACGAAUUGUAGUUUAAAGAAGUGUUUUCUGUUGAGGUUUUGGUAAAAGUUCUUUGGAAUAGGACAUCAUAGAGGGUGAGAAUCCCGUAUUUGACCUUUACUUUCAACUUUGUGAUACACUUUCAAAGAGUCGGAUUGUUUGGGAAUGCAGUCCAAAAUGGGUGGUGAAUUUCAUCUAAAGCUAAAUAUUGGCGAGAGACCGAUAGCGAACAAGUACCGUGAGGGAAAGAUGAAAAGAACUUUGAAAAGAGAGUUAAACAGUACGUGAAAUUGUCAAAAGGGAAGCGUUUGACACCAGUGUUGUUUUUCUGAAAAUCAAUUAAAGAACUGUUUAUGCUAAGCUGUUUAGACUUUAUCAGCUAUCUGUUUAGUUUUGAGCUUUUCUUUAAUGCACUUUUCAGUUAACAAGUCAACAUCAAUUUCUUUUGCUGUAAAAAAGCUUGAGGAAGGUGGCUUGAGAUUCGUCUUAAGUGUUUAUAGCCUCUUGCCUAUGCAGUCGGAGAGAUUGAGGUCUGCAGCGUAGAUCCUUCGGGGCUAAAUGCAUUUGUGCUAAGUUAUAGCAUUUUAUAGACAACUUGUUGACUAUGAUUUGUCUUGUAGCUUACUCGCUUAUGUUAUUUUACCUACGCUUAGGAUGUUGACGCAUGAGAUAUACGC